RNAcentral lists this transfer RNA (89 nucleotides) under Flavobacteriales bacterium. Its description in RNAcentral is "tRNA-Lys". Lineage: Bacteria; Pseudomonadati; Bacteroidota; Flavobacteriia; Flavobacteriales. The record is from RNAcentral.
UGGCUUGGAGGUCGUAUGGAAGACUACUCGGCUUUUAACCGAGGGGUGCGGCCCCGGAGUUUCAUCCGGGGCGAGUCCCGCCGGGCCAA